This 96-nucleotide microRNA precursor is filed under the name Otolemur garnettii (small-eared galago). RNAcentral's name for it is "miRNA (ENSOGAG00000032190.1)". The record is from RNAcentral. Lineage: Eukaryota; Metazoa; Chordata; Mammalia; Primates; Galagidae.
AUACAAAUCACCUGGGGGAUCUUGUUAAAACGCAGAUUCUGAUGAAAGUUGGGAUACAGGAUUUCUAAACAGCUCCCAGGCAGUGCUGAUGCUGCU